This 701-nucleotide long non-coding RNA is filed under the name Mus musculus (house mouse). RNAcentral's name for it is "predicted gene 29154, transcript variant 2 (Gm29154)". Lineage: Eukaryota; Metazoa; Chordata; Mammalia; Rodentia; Muridae. The record is from RNAcentral.
UGAACAUUCCAGGCUCUGUGAACUAAGUGACUGAAGCUGAUUGACACAGGUCAAGGGGACUUCAAGGAAGAAAGCCAGCCUUAGACUGACAUCAGAGAACCAAACUCCGGUGUCUAAGCUCAAGCAUCUACAUCUCCAUUUAUGCCGUGUGCACGCAGUACCAACAGAGGUCAGAGGAGGGUGUCGGAUCCCCUGGAACUGGAGUCACAGAUUCUUCCUUGCGUGGAUGAAACAGUCCCAACGAACACUUUAAAAAGACAAAUGUUCCCGACAGCACUGGUUGAAUUCAAAACUCGGCAGAUCCAUGUUCUUAUCCUUAGACAAGAGAGGGGCCAUAACAAGAUGGAAUGACGGAACAGACGUGAGAGAUGAUGGUACAGUGACUCGGGUAACCCCAGAAAAGGGACAGCUCUUCUACAGCUCAGUGGGGACAGGGACAAAAAGAAACAAUUUCAUUUCAGUCCACCCAGAGGGUCUGCACUUCUCGGAGCCAGAAGGUGGAGAAGAGUAGGGAUGGAGGAAGUUCGAAGUUUUAGGAGUCUGCUCUUGGGUCCCUAGGCAUGAGGACAAGCUUUUCCUGUACUCAAUGCUCAUCUCUCAGUUGUGCCCACAUUGGUACACAUUACUUGCUUUCAACUGCUGCUGCUGCUGUUUCCUAAUUCAAUAAAGAUAUGGCUGGCUCAGCAGAGAGCUGUCAUCCA